RNAcentral lists this ribosomal RNA (168 nucleotides) under Bathymaster caeruleofasciatus. RNAcentral describes it as "partial 12S rRNA". Lineage: Eukaryota; Metazoa; Chordata; Actinopteri; Perciformes; Bathymasteridae. The record is from RNAcentral.
CACCGCGGUUAUACGAGAGGCCCAAGUUGACAGACAUCGGCGUAAAGAGUGGUUAAGUUAAAACAUAUACUAAAGCCGAACAUCCUCAAGGCUGUUAUACGCACCCGAAGAUAAGAAGUUCAACCACGAAGGUGGCUUUACUUACCUGAACCCACGAAAGCUAUGGCA